RNAcentral lists this ribosomal RNA (292 nucleotides) under uncultured bacterium. Its description in RNAcentral is "partial 16S ribosomal RNA". It matches the Rfam family "Bacterial small subunit ribosomal RNA", at positions 505 to 796 of the family's 1533-position model. The record is from RNAcentral.
GUUUCAGCAGCCGCGGUAAUACGUAGGGGCCUAGCGUUGUCCGGAAUCAUUGGGCGUAAAGAGCGCGUAGGCGGCCCGGUAAGUCCGCUGUAAAAGUCAAAGGCUCAACCUUUGAAUGUCAGUGGAUACUGCCGGGCUAGAGUCCGGAAGAGGCGAGUGGAAUUCCUGGUGUAGCGGUGGAAUGCGCAGAUAUCAGGAGGAACACCAACGGCGAAGGCAGCUCGCUAGGACGGUACUGACGCUGAGGCGCGAAAGCGUGGGGAGCGAACAGGAUUAGAAACCCGAGUAGUCC